UGGCUCAGUGGUUAAGAGCACUGAUUGCUCUUCCAGAGGUCCUGAGUUCAAAUCUCAG
Molecule: non-coding RNA, 58 nt
Organism: Mus musculus (house mouse)
Lineage: Eukaryota; Metazoa; Chordata; Mammalia; Rodentia; Muridae
Source: Rfam